This 308-nucleotide long non-coding RNA is filed under the name Mytilus galloprovincialis (Mediterranean mussel). Lineage: Eukaryota; Metazoa; Mollusca; Bivalvia; Mytilida; Mytilidae. The record is from RNAcentral.
CUAUAUACAUAAUAAAAUUGAGAAUGGAAAUGGGGAAUGUGUCAAAGAGACAACAACCCGACCAAAUAAAAAACAACAGCAGAGGGUCACCAACAGGUCUUCAAUGUAGCGAGAAAUUCCCGCACCCGGAGGCGUCCUUCAGCUGGCCCCUAAACAAAUAUAUACUAGUCCAGUGAUAAUGAACGCCAUACUAAUUUCCAAAUUGUACACAAGAAACUAAAAUUAAAAUAAUACAAGACUAACAAAGGCCAGAGGCUCCUGACUUGGGACAGGCGCAAAAAUGCGGCGGGGUUAAACAUGUUUGUGAG